This 301-nucleotide ribosomal RNA is filed under the name uncultured bacterium. Its description in RNAcentral is "partial 16S ribosomal RNA". It matches the Rfam family "Bacterial small subunit ribosomal RNA", at positions 509 to 807 of the family's 1533-position model. The record is from RNAcentral.
CAGCAGCCACGGUAAAACGUAGGUGGCAGGCGUUGUCCGGAGUUAUUGGGCGUAAAGGGCUCGCAGGCGGUUUCUUAAGUCUGAUGUGAAAGCCCCCGGCUCAACCGGGGAGGGUCAUUGGAAACUGGGAAACUUGAGUGCAGAAGAGGAGAGUGGAAUUCCACGUGUAGCGGUGAAAUGCGUAGAGAUGUGGAGGAACACCAGUGGCGAAGGCGACUCUCUGGUCUGUAACUGACGCUGAGGAGCGAAAGCGUGGGGAGCGAACAGGAUUAGAUACCCCCGUAGUCCCUGUCUCUUAUAC